AGCGAACGCUGGCGGCAUGCCUAACACAUGCAAGUCGCACGGGGGGGCUUCGGCCUCCCAGUGGCGGACGGGUGAGGAACGCGUAGGGACCUGUCGAGGGGUGGGGGAUAACCGCGGGAAACUGCGGCUAAUACCGCAUGACGCCGCGGCGUGACAGCCGGGGCCAAAGGCGAAAGCCGCCCGCCGAGGGGCCUGCGUCCGAUUAGCUGGUUGGCGGGGUAGCGGCCCACCAAGGCGUCGAUCGGUAGCUGGGCUGAGAGGGUGAUCAGCCACACCGGGACUGAGACACGGCCCGGACUCCUACGGGAGGCAGCAGUGGGGAAUAUUGGACAAUGGGCGCAAGCCUGAUCCAGCAAUGCCGCGUGGGUGAAGAAGGUCUUCGGAUUGUAAAGCCCUUUCGGCGGGGACGAUGGUGACGGUACCCGCAGAAGAAGCCCCGGCUAACUUCGUG
This 451-nucleotide ribosomal RNA is filed under the name uncultured bacterium. RNAcentral's name for it is "partial 16S ribosomal RNA". It matches the Rfam family "Bacterial small subunit ribosomal RNA", at positions 28 to 507 of the family's 1533-position model. The record is from RNAcentral.